Molecule: unclassified non-coding RNA, 217 nt
Filed under: Hevea brasiliensis (rubber tree)
Lineage: Eukaryota; Viridiplantae; Streptophyta; Magnoliopsida; Malpighiales; Euphorbiaceae
Source: RNAcentral
GUCCCAAAUUCCAGUAAGGUACGGUGGUGGUCGCUUUUCUAUAUAUGCAUAAUACAUAUAUGUUCUCAUUUGAGCAAUUAAAGCCUGCAAACCUUGACACUGCAUCAAUUUGCACUAGCUUAGACAUGGCCGGGGCCGGUUUUGGCUCUCAACUGGAUCAAAUGAUCAACGAUGCUGUUAAAUUCAAAUCGUAUGUAAAUAAUAAUAAUAAUAAUAA